GGCUGGUCUGAUGGAAGUGUGUUAUCAGAACUUACUAACAUUAGUGUCACUAAACUUAGUAUAAAACCCCCCUCUGCUAAAUUUGACUGGCAUAA
RNAcentral lists this Y RNA (95 nucleotides) under Microcebus murinus (gray mouse lemur). Its description in RNAcentral is "Y RNA (ENSMICG00000046182.1)". It matches the Rfam family "Y RNA". Rfam says of the family: Y RNAs are components of the Ro ribonucleoprotein particle (Ro RNP), in association with Ro60 and La proteins. The record is from Rfam by way of RNAcentral. Lineage: Eukaryota; Metazoa; Chordata; Mammalia; Primates; Cheirogaleidae.